UUGUGAUGAUUACCUAGAUGACGAGUCUUAUUCGAGUUUUCGAUGCAGACAACCUUCUUUUUUUUACCAUUCAUGCCUUUCUGACA
This 86-nucleotide small nucleolar RNA is filed under the name Penicilliopsis zonata CBS 506.65. The record is from RNAcentral. Lineage: Eukaryota; Fungi; Ascomycota; Eurotiomycetes; Eurotiales; Aspergillaceae.